Molecule: long non-coding RNA, 19698 nt
Filed under: Setaria italica (foxtail millet)
Lineage: Eukaryota; Viridiplantae; Streptophyta; Magnoliopsida; Poales; Poaceae
Description: long non-coding RNA (SITA_LNC004216)
Source: RNAcentral
CGCCGCCGCCGCCUUCCACCCCGCCGCCCCGCGACCGCUAGGAAGUACACAAUCCCUCCCAUCUAAUGCACAAACCCCCUGGUCGCUUAUGCCUGUGCCUAUUGCCUAAGGCACUAGAUAUCUUGCCCAGGGAGUCUCAGACCUUAAUAUGUUCAGCGUGCGUAAAGUUUUCUCAAAUUCAUGCUGACUUCAGAAUCUGUCAUGAGUAAUCAAAGUCAUUAAGUAACCGGAUUCAUCCAAUGUGAUCCCUCCAUGAGACUUGCAAGAUUAACUCUGCUUAACAUUUCAGGGACUUGAGAAUAAAAUUACUUAACUGGGCCGUUACCAGCAUUCAUUGGAGAACUAACUGCUCUGGAAUCCAUGUAAUACUCUGAACUCAAAACAGUGAUGCAGUUCCUGCAUUCAAGCAAUCUUACAUUCUUUUCCUUGUAAAUCACAAGGACUGUCGGCAUCAAUGCAUUAUCUGGACCUAUCCCAAAGGAGCUUGGAAAUCUUGUCUUUUCCUUGUAAAUCACAAGGACUGUCGGCAUCAAUGCAUUAUCUGGACCUAUCCCAAAGGAGCUUGGAAAUCUUGACUAAUGUUGAUGCUCAGUUACUAUCAUGCAUCUGUUGUUAUACUUGCCUUUCACUUGCACGAAAGUCAUGCGGCUGUAUGCAUGUAGUGUGCCUCUCAAGCAUUAUGGCAUUAUAUUGAAUAUGAUCUGAUCUCAAAAGUUAAUAUAAUAUUGUGGAAGUGAGAAUCUGAUGGAAAAAAAUGAGCAUCGUCCCCAUCAAAUAUUCAUCAGCUUUUCAAUUGCCUAAAAGUACGUAACAACACUUUGUUUUGGACAUUUCUUUGGAGCUAACCUAGUUUAAUUAAUUAUUUCUUUCAGGGCAUUGGGCUCAAACAAUUUUAACGGCACACUUCCUGAUGAGCUGGGCAAAUUGACAAAACUUAGACAAAUGUAAAUCAUCUAUUUGGUCGCUUUACAUGUCUUCAUAAUCACCUAUGCUUUCGUUACUGUUUAGAGUGAUAACUUUAUGCAUGAGACAACUGAAAAAUGUUAUCCAUCUUUGAGCUGCAGAUACAUUGAUAGUAAUGACUUCAGUGGUCCUCUACCAUCGACAUUGUCACAACUGAAGAACCUCUCAGUCUUGUAAUUUUUUAAAAUGAGAUAUCAACUCGUAAAUUUCUUCUUUCUUCUGAGGUAGAAACCAAUAAUCUUGCACACCCUUGUCAUCAUGCAUCCAGGUGGGCAUCAGACCAUAAUUUCACUGGGGAGAUACUUGAUUAUCUCGGGAGCUUGACUAACUUGACUGAACUGUAAGAUCUAUAUUUGACAACCACUAAGGUCUUAAUAUUUUUCAAAUUGUUUUCUCAACAGUAAUAGUAAGGAAAGUUAUUCAUUGUUCUGGAGAAGUGCAAGACAUUGCAUAUCUACGGAUCUACCUGCAUCAUCGGUUUCUAUAGCACAAUUACAUUUAUCAUGAGGAACUAGCUUAGGUAUUACUACUUUACUGACCAGAUAUCUAUGAAUUUCCAGGAGGCUCCAAGGGAAUAUUCACCUGAACUUAUACUCUGUUGUACAUUGCAGUUAUACUACUGCCCAGAAUGACAUCUUGGUGGCGGGCCGGUUGCUGCGGUGGGUUGGGCCGGAAGGCCGGCCUGGCUGGAAAGAGGAGCCUGCUGAUGGCUUGGGCCGGAGCGGCCUGAGAAGGUAAGGGGUGGCGGCCUGCGGGCCGGUUGCUGCGGCGGGUUGGGCCGGAAGGCCGGCCUGGCUGAAGAGGCAUGGCGAGAAGCGGGUGGAACAUGGAAUUUUUUUAUUUUUUUAUUUUUUUUACGAAUUUGUAGAAAUAUACAAUGGAAUCAAAAAUUUGCAAAAACAGGAUUAUACCGCGGCUGAAACGACGGUAGAGUCCUUGUACCGACACCCACGUGCGGGCUUAUGUUGUCAGAUGAAACGACGGUAAGGGGCGGUAGGGUACCCUGCCUGUUUGGUGACGUCGUUUCAGCGACCGAACGACAAAAGGGACCGAACGACUUGAGGAUAAAAAAAGAUCCGCCCCGGCUCUCCACGACACGGAGAGCUGACACGAUGUUGUUAUCCUCGUAUAAAAAAAGCUCCAAAGCGAGAAAAAGGCAUAAACAGGAGAGCCAUGCAGUGCGUUGUCACCGUCUAAAGGGGGUGUUUGGGAGGAGGCUAAAUUUCAGAUUUUAGCUCUCUCCUCCCAAACACCAGGGCUAAAAUGGAGGGGCUAAACAUUAGCCCCCAUAAUUCAUUAGCCCCUCCAAGAGGUGCUAAAAUGGGCUAAAGUGGGCUAAAAGUGGUCCCCUCAUACCAAUUUCCACCCCCUGCCCCCUCUCUCCUCCCCGCAUCGCCCGACUCCGCCUCGCCCGACUUCGCCUCGCCUCGCCGGCCCCACCACUGCCGGCGCCACCUCCGCCUCGCCUCGUCGGCGCCACCUCCGCCUUACCUCGCCGGCCCCGCCACCACCGCCGCCGCCUUUGCCGGCCUCCCCUCUGCCGGGUCCUGCCGCCACCGCCGGGCUCCCCUCCGCCGUGCCCCGCCGCCUCCACCUCCGCCGGGCUCCCUUCCGCGCCGGCCGACCCCAUCUCCUCCAGCCGGACCCGCCGCCUCCGCCCACCCCCGUGGCCUCCGGUGACCCCGCCGCCUCCGGCUGCCCCCGCGGUCUCCGGCGACCCACGCUUGGGAGGAUUUUGUGUGCUGUGCUGCCGAUUGCAUGAGGAAGAAGGAAGAAAAUGGGAGGAGGGGAAGGUGGGGGUAUUGUUGUCUUUUAUCCAUCAAAGUGCUAAAAUUUAGCCUCCCAUCCAAACACUUCAGGUGCUAAACUUUAGCCCUUUCAUUUGAGUAGGCUAAACUUUAGCCCCUUCCUCCCAAACAGACCCAAAGAUCCCAUGCAGAGAUCGCACGCUAGCUUUCGUUUGGUAGUGUCGUCACCAUCUAACAUCUUCAGUCUAGGAAUUUGGUGGACAACCGUUGAGCGGUAAGGCGCUACCGCCAGCUGAAACGGCGGUAAGGAUCCUACCGUCAUUUCACCCGGCGGCAUAAGUCCACUUGUAGCCAUUUUUUAUUUCACUAUAUAUUUCUGCAAAUUCAUAAAAAAAUAAAAAGUUUGUAAGAGGGCUUUGUGGAGAACUGUCCAGAAGCUGAGUGUUUCCAAAAUGUGAAGGUCUUGUGAUCAUGGUUGUAGAUCAAUGUCUUUUCUCCAAGGCAUCUAGCAGUAGGAGCGUGUAGGUGGUCAAUCAGGAGCUCUAUGAUAUAUACUCAUAAUUAGUAUCCAAACAUUCGAUGUGACAGUGUAGUAUAGUUUAGCAUGAGCAUCCAAACACGCAAAGAUGAUUGGCUUCCCACAUUUGGUGAGAUCUUACGUGAAAAGGGAGAGAGAGAGAGGAUUAGCAGUUUACACCGAGCUGGCUGAGUUGUGAAAAGCUCGGGUGUAAGUUAGAGUUAGUCAUGUUAGAUUUUUAUUAUGCUAUUUAUAUACUAGCUUUAGUUUGUAUUUUUUGAUCUAAUCCAAAAAUACAAACUUACCUUUGAGAUCUAAAUUAAAUCAAAUAAAAUCCAAAUCACUUGUGCAAGCAUGUUUUAAAUUUAAAUGCAUAAUUUAAUUACUACCUUUUUCAAUUUAGAGGAAAGAAUUGAGGGUUGACCUUAAAUUUUACCAAGUAUUUAUAUGCUUCACAUAAUCAAACAAAAAGUUUUCAUUUUUGCAAAAAUUAGCACAAUUAAUAUCACUCAAUUUUGAGGGAUAUUACACUUUUGUCAUGAUUUAAAGUUGGCCCGUGAAUAAAAGGGCUUUAGUCCCGACGCAACCCUCCAUGUCUCCGUACACACGAGUGGACUUGUUGAAUGAUCGGCUCAGAAAGAGUGCCUUGCCUUCAGGUAGUGUAUCACGAUCCGUGACUGAAACCCAUCUGCCAGCAUCGAUGUCCGCCUUGAAGAUCUUGACCUUGCAAGUGUACUUGGGGUCAAAUGGAGAUGAUUCAUCAGCAGCAUCUGCAAUUACCUUGAGGGACACUGAGAAUAGCUUCCUGUGGUACCGUAAUCCCAGAGAGUUGUGGUGCUGUAAUCCCAGAGCCGAGCGGCCACCCGCCGCUGUCGGGUGCCCACAACGAGUACUGCCUCCGGAGCUCCUGGAUCUUCGGCUGGAUCCGCUUCCACACGAACUCAACCUCCAUGAUGGGCGCCCCCACCGCGACGGGCGAUAGUGGGGGUAUGGGCCCCGCAAGCGCUGACACCGACGUGAGGAGGUGCUCAAGCUCAUAGUCGGCGGCCAUGGCGAGCAGCGGGAACGCGGGGCCUGACGGCGAGGAGGAGGAGGAGAAGCUCCUGGUGCGCGGCCAUGGCGAGCGGCGGGCGUCCGGGGGCGGUGGAUGGAGGUGGAGGAAUUGCGCAAGUGUGUGCGGGAGAAAAAAUAAAACGGGAUGAAACGAACCGGUAUGUCCGUAAUUUAUGGUAGGUGGGUAAUUUUUUACCCUAAAAUCACUUGAAAACAGGGGAAGGUGCCUUUUGUUUUGUACCGGAGCAAAAGUAACUUUUGGGCAAAAGCACAUGUGGCUUUUAGGUUAGCUUUCGACUUUUGCAAAAGUAAAACCAGGUUGAAAAACUCAAUCAAAUGUACCCUAAUAAACUUGCGGACGCAGACUUAACUAUAAAACUGUUGUGCAAGGUCUGGAAGCAAGUACACCGCGGAAUUCAAAGUAUUUCUUCUGACCAACUCGCACAGGUCAAGAGCAUAGUUCGUGGCUAUUCCAAGAAAUCGUACGAAGAUAAAACCUUUUCUUCGCUACUGUCAUCAUCAGAAUGAGGUGACAUGAUUUAGUAGCUCAUAUAAGAUGUAGGCAUGUAGCGUCUAAACGACUUUAAUAGUUCGGCAUGCACCCACCCAUCAACUUUCAGUGCUCUCUUUUGUAAGGAUUAAUUCAUUGUUUAUUGUUGGCUAAAAUGAUGACCAUGAACAUAUUCUCAAGAGUUUCUGUGCCCGUUUAAGACAUUUGAAGGUUAAAGAAAGCACCAUCAACAAGAAACAGAUUUGUAAACACAGAGGGAAGGGUCAAUCUCCCCCUACACGGAUGCAUUGAACAAACUAUUAUUGAUGCUUUGAACAAAAUCUAGUGCUGCUUGUGCGUCAAACCACGAAUUUUGGAGGGAAAAGCCAUGUCAACCACUUAUCAUCAGCCCGUAUUCUCUGCCAUGGAAGGCUAAACGGCCUGCAAGACGAGGAUCUGGUGUCGAAUACUUGGUCCACAUCCACAAAAUAUAUGCAACCCUCCUUCAUGUCUCCAUACAUACGGGUGGACUUGCUGAAUGAUCGGCUGAGAAAGAGUGUCUCGCCUUCAGAUAGCGCAUCACGACCCGUGACUGAAACCCAUCUGCCGGCAUCGAUGUUCGCCUUGAAAAGCUCGACCUUGCGAGUGUAAUCGGGUCAAAUGGAGGUGAUUGCACCUGCCGCCUCACCAUGAGCAACUCUUGGCCGCCGCAUGACUCGACAAGGAACCUACUGGUCGUGAUGUAGUCCUUGGGUUCAUACGGCACCUCCUCGUCCACCCCAACCUCGUCAUCGCUUGGAACCAGCUGGCCAUCAUCAGGAUUGAAGCUAUCAUCGCCACCACCAUCAUCGGUAUCGUAGUCGUCAUCCAUCCAGCUCCACGGGUCUUCUUCACCAUCAGCUAACGGGUGCCUGAUGACUCGCUUAAAUUUGGGAAUAAUUGGAAAUGUGCGGUAGAAUACCAUUAUGUAUCACUAGUUAGUUUCCUUUUCUUUUUGUGACGGCCCUAUCCAAAGUUCAGUUAGACAGCAAAAAAAAAAAGAGUUCUAUGUACAAUUGUUGAUUUCAGAAAAGUACAGUGAAAUGAUCACCGUUGCUCAAUCCCGGAGGCACUUCAUCCAGCGGAAAGGUGAGGUUAAGCCGGGGGUCAGUAACAAGCUCAGUAGUAUGCAGCAACAACGCUCUAAAAACAGGGGCGUAGCCGGAAACUUGAUUUUUCCAUUGUUAGGGAGGCAACAGUGGUAAAAAAAAUUUUCAAAAAUUUGAUAGAAUUCAAAAAAUAUUAGUGGAAAAUUGGAAGCCAUAGGGGGCCGUUGAGCUGUGGCGCUCAGGUUUGUUACUCCGCUUGUGGUAUGCUGACAGGAUCUCCUGUUCUCGAGACAGGCACGAGGCCAGAGCUAUACCAACUACUAAAUCAAAAAACUAUACUAGUUUCGUAAUACAAAGGUACGCAACUCUCUUACAUAUUCUCGAUAAAAAAAAGAAACUAUACAAUACCACACAUGUAGAAAGCAGGCACGGCUCAGCCGCAUGUAGCAGUAAGCAGUAUCGAUGGACGACCAUUUCUUUUUCUUUUUUUUAUCCAUUUCAUUCAUUGACCAAACUCAAUCGUGUUACUAGUUGGAAUCGAUCAGAGAAAUUGACUAGCAAUGCUAUUUACAACAAAAUACUAUCUUCAAAUGAAAAGAGAUACCAUAUAUGUUGUAUGAAAGUAAUGCAAAUGAUGGUUUGUCAAUCUAUAUAAAAUUCUAGGCAUUUCAUUCAUGGUUAAAGGUAAAGAAGAUUGGCCUAAUAGUUAUUAACAAGUCUAGAUGAACUUGUUAUUCGAACAGGAGGAAGGAAGUAGCUGGUUUCCCGAGCCAUGCGUUCACAGGUUUUCUCCAGUCAUCUGCUCCCAUGACGGCUAGACGAGCACAUGCCCAUGCCAACUUGCACUGACCAGCUCGCGACACGCUCAAACCAGCACGUAUAAAAUGCCUCCUUGUAGGGGCUUAAGCACACACAACAAUCGCUCAGCAGGCAGCAAUUCGAUCGUGUUCGACCUCCCUUCUUCAUCCAAGACGGAAUGGCGGCACCGUCGCGGCGGCCGACGCUCGCCGUCGUCGUCCUCGGCGCCUUUCUGUGCUCGCUGGCGGCGGCGCUCUCCUCCGCGGAGGCCAAGGUGCACCACCACACGUGGGACAUCGCCUACCGCCGCAAGUCACUGGACUGCUUCGAGAAGCUGGCCGUGACCGUCAACGGCGAGGCGCCCGGCCCGACCAUCCGCGCCACGCAGGGCGACACCGUCGCGGUCACCGUGCGCAACAUGCUCGAGACCGAGAACACGGGCAUCCACUGGCACGGCAUCCUCCAGCGGGGCUCGCCGUGGGCCGACGGCACCGUCGGCGUCACACAGUGCCCCAUCCUGCCCGGCGAAUCCUUCACCUACAGAUUCGUCGUCGACAGGGUGAGCGUGCACGUACGCCAACUGCUACAGCUACAACAUUUUCAUCUGAGCUGAUGAGUCAACCUAUCCGACGUACGACGUGGUUUAAUUUUAGCCGGGCACGUACUUGUACCACGAGCACUACGGGAUGCAGCGCGUCGCCGGGCUCGACGGCAUGCUCGUCGUGUCGGAGUCGGACGGCGUCGUCAAGCCCUUCACCUACGAUGAGGAGCCACCGUCCUCCUCAUGGACUGGUGGCACAAGAGCGUCUACGAGCAGGCCGUCGGGCUCGCGUCCGACCCCCUAGAGUUCGUCGGCGAGCCACAGUCUCUGCUGAUCAACGGUCGAGGAAUGUUCGGCUGCUUUCCUGCUGCUCCCGGCGGCGCCUGCAAUGCCUCGUGCGCCUUGCCGGCGCUGUUCACCGCCGUGCCGGGGAAGACCUACCGCGUCCGCACUCGUCGCUCAACUUCGAGAUCGAGGGCCACUCGAUGACGGUGGUGGAAGCCGACGGGCACUACGUGAGGCCGGUGGUCGUGGACAGCCUCUUCGUCUACUCCGGCGAGACGUACUCGGUUCUAGUCAAGGCCGACCAGGACCCGUCCCGGAACUACUGGGCCGCGUCCCACGUCGUCGGCCGCAGGCGGGAGACACCGAGCGCCCUGGCCGUCCUGAGCUACGCCGGGAACGACCCGCGGUCGCCGCCGCCAGCGGGCCCCGCGUGGGACGACGCGGCGCCCAGGGUAGCGCAGAGCAGGUCCCCCGCCGCCGCGCACCCGGACCACGUCCUCCCCGCGCCGCCGAGGCCCGACCGCACGCUCCUCCUCCUCAACACGCAGAACAGGAUCGACGGCCACGUGCGGUGGGCCAUCAACGGCUUGUCGCUCCGGUUCCCGGCGACACCGUACCUCGUCUCGAUGAAGCGCGGGCUCCGGGGCGCGUACGACGACCAGCGCCCCCCGGCGGACGCGUACGACAACUACAGGAGCUUCGACAUCGCCUCGCCGCCGGCGGCGAACGGGACGGUGGCGAGCGCGGCGUACCGGCUGGCGCUGGGGUCGGUGGUGGACGUGGUGCUGCAGAACACGGCGGCGCUCAACGGCAGGAGCGAGACGCACCCGUGGCACCUCCACGGGCACGACUUCUGGGUGCUUGGCUACGGCGAGGGCAAGUUCGAGCAGCAUUCGCUGAACAUCCUGAGAUCAGAAGAGUCUGAUCCUCUCCAAGAUCAGAAGAGUCUGAUCCUGUGGCAGACUACGCAGGUGUUAUGGCUCGCAUAGGCCGUAAAAAGAAAGCUAGCAGCAUUCGCUGAACAUCCUGAGCUUUGCCUGAAGGCUAUUUGUGCCCUCUAUCGGAAGCAAACUCAGGAGGAACAGUUGGAAAAGGCUGCUUUACUUCAUAAUAAGCAGGGAUUUAGCCACAUGGAUGCCCAUUGGUAUGUUGCUGUGCUAACUAUUUAGUUUAUUUUCUUGCAGAUUCAUUGCUAAUCAGAAGAAGCAAGGGGAUGGUUGUGGAAAUAUUCAUUUAACUAGUCUUCCUUUAGGUGAAAAAAAUGAUGUAAAGUCAUUGGGUGGUUGCAACUUCUACUGCGUGCUCUGUUUAUUUGUUUAUUUCAAUUUGGAAAGUAGUACUAGUACCUUAUUUUCGUCCAUAUGUUACUGUAGUUUUUUUUUAUAGCAAGAUACAUCACGUGGGUUGAACUGCUAAAUGUGACAAAAUUUCUUGUUACAACUUAAUAUUGUAUUAGUUUAAUACUCUGCAUUGCUACUGAGGUAUUGCCGAUAAUUUGAUGCACAUAGACACUGUAAAAUAAGUAAUUAACUAAAAAAUCUACAUAGAUUCGCUAAGUUUUUUUAAAGAUUGGUCAUCAUAACGCUCAAAAAGGUUGUCUAUGGUUUUGUUCAUCUAAAAGGUUUAGGUUGAGGACCUUGCUCAGGGGAAAUUUCAGUGCUAUGUAACUCGCACAACCAUAUUGAUGCGUUUGCUUUAGCUCCUAGUCUACUGUAAUAUUCCUCUUUAAAGAGUAAAGUAGAAUGAAAUGAUGAGCACUAAGAGAGUUUUUUCAUGUUCUUAGUCUGAUGAUAUUUUGAUUACACUGUGCUGUUCAUUGUAUGGGAUCUUGCAUAGCAGAAUUUCUUCUGGAUGGUGAUCGGGAUGGUCCACUGAAGAAGACCAUCGAUGAUUUGGAGGAGCAUGAUUCUGAUGCUCUUGGGUUCUGUCGCAGGGUGGCUUCAAAUUACUCAAAACAACUGUUUGCAAUUUAUCAGAACAAGGAGGACCCUUAGUUUCAUCCAUAGCUUUGGUAACCCGUAUACCGUAGGCUUACCUUUCGUCCCUUGUAAUGUUUUAUCAUCUGUCUGCCUUGCUGUUUUCACUCUUUUGUACAUAUGUGUUUAGUUAUUGGAUCUUCUGGAGAAGUUAGGACCGGUUAACUUUGGCCCUGAUGUCUCACUAGGAUGCUUGUGUAGCAAAACGAGUGUCCUAUCGUGUUUGUGUUCUAGUCUUGUGGAUGCUUAAGUGCCUGUGCUGCACCCCUGUUUAAUACAUCCUUGAGAGACUCUGCUUAUUCACUUGGGGGCAUGAAGCCUCCCUUCCUGCAAAUGAACAAUUACUUAAUAAUACUUCCAAAGUCAUAUGCACUUAUGAGUGCUUUUGAUCUAAGAGUUCAUGAUAACGUUUUUAUACAAGAGAUGAAUUCUAGUGUAGGUUAAAUAUUAAUAACAACUAAGGCCCAUUUGGAUUCUUGGAAUUGAAUUCCAUUCUAAUAAUCAUAAUUUAGACACAAAUUAAUUAAGUUAGACCAAUUGAAUUCUUGCACAUUUGAAUUCUAAUAAUCAUAACAACUAAGGCCCCAUUUGAAUUCUUGCACAUUACAAACAUAGCAUGAUAAUUUAAAGAAUCAAUUUACAUCUCCCACCCUAUGAAUUUAAGAUAGACUUAUAUCUAAAUUUUGAAAAGUUGUGGAAUGUCACGUUCCAAGACAAAUAGCCUACUAGAUUCCAAUUCCUUCAAAAUGAAGGGAUCCAAACGGGGCCUAAUAGAAUUUCAGCAGAGUCAUGCAGUUGCUUUUGAUGCAAAACAAUAAUAAUUGGAACACAUUGGAACACCCCCACUAAUUUACCUGGCCAAGUCCAUCGUAAGCUGCGGACGAUCAGGGGCCUCAAUGAGGUGUUAUCACGUUCUUAUUCUCUCAACCAGCUAUCGGUGGCAGUUUUUUACAAUUGUUAAAUUUUGUGCAAACAUUUAGAAAAUAAAAUAAUCUCUGUACAAUUUUGUGAAAAAUAAUACGUGCACAAUUUCUGAAUAAAUCAACUCAAGUUGUUUGGACAAUCACCAUGGAUUGAUGGAUGUCUCGCCGCCACCGGCAUCUCGUUAGCGGAAAAUGCAAGCAUCAGUCCUUGGAGACUCAAACUGGGUGGACAAGUCUACCAUAAAAAACUUGACAAAUUAAACUGCGUAGCAAUCACUAUUAUUGUUGAGAGGGUAUGUUUUUAUUAUUGUAUUUUUGUGCUAAUGGUGUUGAGUGACAGAUAGAGCUCUCUAUUUUGUUUUCUCGUAAAGAAGAAAUGGCUGUGAUCAUUAUUCAGUCAGUGGAAUCACACCUCGCAUAAGGUGCUGGUGCUGCCAUUGCCGAAACAUUUGAGAUCUCUGGGUGGUGUGGUACACACUGGUGCUGUGGCUAUCAUGUAAGUUGGUCUAAUCCACAAUCAAAAGUGAUCGAUCAACAGAGUGUUGGUUUGAGUUAUGGUACCGUCCAGAACCAUCCAGAUAUAAACUUGGAUCCUAAUCGCUCCAGUUGCUUUGAAAUCUCUUCUCUACUCUAAAAAAACGCAAAGAGGCGACGUCCCAUGCUAAACUGAUUUUGCGCCGUCAGUUCUUUUCCCGAGCACCGCCUCAAUCCCACCGCGAUCCGUGUUCCUCCGAUAGAACCCAGUACAUGACAACCUCCCUGUUUCCCUAAUCCCUAACGAGAGCUCGAGACGUCUCCCCAUCGAUCCCGCCGCCUCGCCUCCGCCAUCGAUCAUGCCAUCGUCGCCAACCCAAGCCGCCCUCCGCCUCCUCCACUCGGCACUGAGGUCUCUCAAGCCCGUCCUUCACCGCCUCCACUCAGCGCUGAGGUCUCUCGAGCCCAUGCUGCCAUCUACUUCGUCCUGGGCAAAGGAUCACCAUCAGACGAUGGGAAUUGGGAACAGGUGUCAUGGUCAAUGUCGUCGCUGUAUCGAUCCAUCCUGCAACCACAAGGAACCAAUAUAAAGGUUAAAUCUCCAGAUCAUCAUGUGAAUUUUGCCUCACCGCUCCUGCCACUUCAAUUUCUCCUUGCAUUGUUUUGUAGUGUCAAAAUAGUGGUCGAUGUGUUUAAUUUGUACCUUCUCCAGAAGCUAAAGAAAGAUUACAUACUCCAGUGAUAGAGGAAUUUCCAGGUGAGUAGGAUGAAUACCAAUUUUAUCUCCCAGUUAGGGAUUUUAAACUUUACUCCUCACCUCGAAAUUUUACAGUGAAGUUAUUUGAUUCUACUUAACCGUCGACAGCACCGACAUGCACUCAAUUUUUUAUUCAACCAUCAAUAAGACUCGGUGACUGAAUUGUAUUAGAAAUCUAGGAUCUUAAGAGCUUUCAUCUGGCGAGUGCCGCUUUUACGUGGUAGUUCUUCUAGCGAGCAUACAAUUCCUAACAUGGAUUUUUCUAAUCUAGACAGUGUGGUGCAAUUGUAUGUAAUCAGAAAGAACAAGAAAGAAUUAGUACAAUCUAAGAACUGUAAUCAUGGGUACAAUCUAAGAACUGCAGAUAUACAUAUCUUCUGAUUUAUUCUUGUGCUAUUCAGAAACAAGAACACCAACAGCUCUAAAGCAUAAAUCCAUUUUAAGUCAAUAUGCUUGUUUUUAGGUUGUGGUAUAGAUGCCCUAAAAAGGGUCAUGGGAAUCUGACAUGUCAAUUUAUAAUAUGUAAGCCCAUAUGCUCACAUGCAUCAUCAAUAUUAGUGCAGGAUGAUAUAUAUGCUCUUAUCGCCGCCCCAAUCAAAAUGAUCAUAAUCAGCUGCAUACAAAAUAAAUCUAAGAUGAGAAAAAAGAAAGAAGAUCUUUCUCACAUUUUCUAAUCCAAUCAGACAUUCGGACUAGACACUGGAAGCAACAUGCACCAGAUAUCACAUAUGCUUUUAAAAUUGUACUAUUUUGUGUUGUAUCAAGAAUUACCAACAUCACGGUUGCACAUAUGAUCGACAGAGAAGGUUCUUACAAUAAUUGUUGCCGACAGGCCUACGUUCACGCAAUCAACAGGUUUGGAAACUGUUAGCAAAAGCUAAAAGUUUGUCCUCCUGGCGUUUCAGGUUCCUCUCCUUUUGUGCAAAGACAUAAGAAGUCCAGAAUGCCAGAGAAGGGAAGAAAAAGGAGACAACAGUGAGUAAAACAUACUGCACCAAAAGUGUUUGUCCAUGGACGGAGAUGGGCUACAGUUCUAAGAAAUUCUCUUCAUGCCCGUUUCUUCUGUAUAGGAAAAGAUGUGGGGUCAAUUUUCCCAAUCUGCAAGAAGCAAAAAAUAAAAUAAAAUUAGAACACAAGAAAAGAACUAUAAGGCACAAAGGAUAUGGUUCUCAGACUCUGCAAGUCCUUGGUCUAACCGUCUUAGUGUGAUCAAUUAUCACCAAUCAGAAGUGUAGCAUAAGAAAAAAAGUUCCAUAGCUUGAAUAUUACACAAAUUCACAGAGGCAACCAUAUUUACAGAUUGUGUACUAACUUGUAAGUUACCGUAGGGAACAAAUCAUACAAAUAGAUAAAGGACGACACUUGAUAAGAUGCAUUUCAAUUUCUGGUUGAGUAAUGGAAGGAAAGAAUCAUUUCCAGUCUCAUGGUCAACAAACCUAUGCACCUUUAUAUACUGAAAGAAACUAAAAAGAAACUCGAAUUGGUGACUUUUGAAGUCCAGAAUGCCAGAGAAGGGAAGAAAAAGGAUGGCUGACCCCUUUGUAGGUUGUUGCGGUUCAAAAUGAAGCAGGCAUGCAGAACAUUUCAUUUUUCAUUCUAAUAGUGUUGUCCAACAGAUCCUUACGUGGAGCAACAAACUGUCAUGAUUCCAGAUAUCGAUGGACAUUGCUAGCAUACAACACAAACUUGAAUCACCAGUUCAAAGUACUGCAAAAAAAUGACUCUAAGACAAAAAUAAAUCAAGUCAUCAAUUGGGCUUAGUAAUGGCUAGUUGGAGCAUUGGACAAGAUAUUAUAGGUCCCAUAUGGAGGAAUGAUUACAAAACAUAAUGCUAGCACUGAAUCUGGCUCCACUAAACUCCAUUAAAGAUUUGUGCUACUAUGCUCGCUGAAAAAAUGAAUUGCAGAAACCAAGCAAUAUUGUAGCAGUGGAGUAGUGUGGGUGAGAGCUCGACAUGUGGUGGAUACAACUUUGACUCAAGUCUAUGUGUACACCAAACAAGAAGGUAAUCAUGCAAUCUAGAUGCAAUCUCGAUGAUUUCUCUAAAGGAUUCAGAAAUUCAAUUGAAGCAUUUCUUGUUAAUGCUGCAUUCGGCAGUGUCUAUCCAAUUUCCCUGAAAUCAUAUCUUCCUCUCUUCAUAUCUGAAGCAACAGGAUUUUUUUCCUUACACUUUUAAUUAUGACUGGAAUGGAACCCUCAACAUCUGUCAGGUAUUUGUCAUUUCCAGUGAUGAAGGCAAGUUUAUCAGCUGAUUUAACCACUGCCUGUAUAACACAUGGGACAACAUGGUUGAAAUCAAAUAAAUGGUUCAGAUAUGCAAUGUGUCUAUUACUUUUGCCUACAUACGAAUGACUAUUGAUCAGAAAUUCAUGCACGCACUAACUCUGAAGACAUUGAUUAAGUAGUCAAAUACCUUCUCCACCAUGAAAGAGGGCUCUCCACUCUCGGUCUUGCGCCGCCCGAUGACGGCAGCCAGCAUGCCCUCUUCGAUUACUUCAGCAUCAGUGAAAGCAAAAUCAAUCUAUACGUCAGUGAGCAGAGCAUAGUUUCAGAUGUUGUUCUUCCCGUGUUAUAAGAAGAGGUUUACAGCUGAUGGUUACAGGCGUACAUAGAACCUGGCUCGUUGGCGCCGUGUCCCCGGCGAGGAGAGGAGGAGGGUGGGCUGGUGGCGCCGGCUGUGCAGGAAGACCGUGCCGAGGAGGAGGGCGGCGCCGGCUGCGCAGGGAGACAGAGGAGAGGAGGAGGGCGGGCGAGGCCAGUUGCGCAGGGAGAGGAGGAGGGCGGCGGCGGCGGCAAAGCAGGCAGAGCGAGUCGAGGUCAGGCAGAAUGCGGGCGGCGGCGGCGUUGCAGGCCGAGCGAGCCGAAGUGAUGCGGAUUGCGGGUGGCGACGGCGAUGCAGGGCGAGGGAGGAGGAGUAGGCGAGCGAGGGGAACAUCGGAUGGCGGAGCAUGAAGCGUGGGGCUGGAGGAGGAGCAGCGGACGGCGCGCGUCGUGGGCUUCGAAGGGUGUUCCAUUGGAGAGUGGACCGGGUUGCGCGGAGGAUGCGGGAGCCAGCGGACGGUUGAACGGAGCGGAGGAUAAACGACAUAUGAAGAAUUUUCUUCUCUUUGGUUUUUUUAGGAGUAGAGAAGAGAAGAGAUAGAGAAGAGAUGGUUUUUUUAGAGUAGAGAUAGAGAAUAUUCGGUCUAUACGUAUGUAUUGCCAUGACUUAGAGUUACUUAUGGGUAACUAGGUUAUGUUUCUUGGUUAUAUCGGUCGGUGUUUUCAAUUUGCUUUUUUUAUCCCGAUUGUUAUCAACACGUUUACCUGUGAACUGGUUCGGUUUGGAUACCAAGUGAAUUCGUGUUCAUUUUCAUUUUCGACCAUCUUUUUAUUAAGUUUAUUGCAAUUAGGCUUGGAUGCUGAGGUAGCUUGGCUUGGCUCGUUAGCCUAACGAGCCAAUACCAAAUGAGCAAAAUGUUUGUCUCAACUCGGCUCGUUAGUAGCUCGAGCCACCUUGUUAGGCUCGCGAGUGAGAUGUUAAUUUGGGAUUACCAUCUCAACGUAUAGGAAAUGUAAAAAAAUAGUAAUUAUAUAGUAAAAUCCACCAUGAGCACUUCGGCUAGCUCGGCUUCAAUAGCUCGACUCACUAUGUUGAGCCUUUAGCCUUCUAGCUGGCUAGCUCGCGGCUCGCGAGCUAGCUUGAACUAGCUCAUUACUGAAACGAACAAAGUAGCUGCUCCGUUCAUUAAAACAUCCACCGAGCUAAGCCGAGCUACGAACGAACUGAGCCACGUUAUGAAUAAGAUUAUUUCUCAUAAUUUUAAUGGGUUUAAGGCUUAUUUAACAAUAAAUUUUGGAAUUUUUAGAAUUUUAAUGUAUUAUUUUCAUUUUAGGUGAUGCCACGAAUAGCAAUUUUAGAGGACCACCCACAUCCAAUGCACAUCUACUAUCAGUAGAUCUUAGAGAACGGGGGAGGCACCAGGAUAGGGACUAAUAUGCUCAAAUAACUAUCCAAAAGAAGGAAACAUUACUAAAAAACUGUCGUGAAAUUGUGCAAGUCGAACGUCAUCAAUUUUUUAGAGGUGGAGGUCCUAUGUACAUGAUGGGCGGGAGGUCCCAUGUAAAGCUACUCAGACUUGGCAUGAUAUUUACAUAAAAACUCAACUUAUGUACAUGAUGGGAGGAUAAUGUUGCAGAACUUCUUCAUCAUCGUUUGGCGCAUGAAGCGAAUGGGUAUCGAAGGCAUAUUCCUGCCAACGUACCUAACUCUGUAAAUACUUAUUUAAUAUUUCAAUUUUUUCACUUAUUAUUUUGUUGUUGAAUGCCUUUUGGAUGAAAUAUUUAUUAUUAUCUUCAUAUUAUUAUUGUUUUACUAAAUCAUCAUUGCAUUAUAAUAUAAAUAUUUUGUUGCUCGUAGCAACGCAUCGUACGACCCUAGUCUAAUUUUAAACUCUCAUUUAUAUUUCUAGAUACUGAAUGGCCCUUUCAAAUCCUACGGCGUGUGAGAAUUGAAAACGGGCAUGAGGGAAUUUUUUUUUAUAUGUAUACGGCAGUUUGGAGAAUUUGGUCUCCUGUUGCAGAAAGCUUCUGACGGAGGAGAAAGGGCCACGUCGUCACCGAGGAAUCUUUGCAUGCGACAGCAACCAGGCCCACCCAGCAGGAUGCCCCCCUACCUGUCUGUCUUGUCGCCUCCUAAUUAGGAACGGGCACAAAAAAAAAUGUGUUGACGUGGACAUAUAAAAGCGCGAUUUCUAGGUCUCCUCCUUUCCUCCCAGCCCCGAACACCAGCGGGCCGCCGCCGCCGCACACCCGCGUCGCUCCCUCUCUCCUUCUUCCCGGCGGCGGGGUCGCGGCCUCCUCCCUCCCUCCGGCCGCGGCUCCUCCUCCCUCCCCUCCGGCCGCGGCUCCUCCUCUCCCGGCGCAGGGGCGCGGCCUCCCGGCGCCCCUGUCCUCCCCACCGGCGCCCGCAGCCCUCAGAUCCGGCGGCCGGCAGCGUCGGGGUCGAGGCGAGGGGGCGCGGCCUCCUCUCCCGGCGCGGGGGCUCCUCCCUGCCGGCGGCCGCAGCUCGUCCUCCGCGGCGUCAGCCGCGGGUCCCACGCCCCCCACCUGACACGCCCGCGACCGCGACUCCUGGAGGUCUCCUGUAGCGACCUGGAGGAUUGCGGCGCGUUUACCGUGCUGCGGUGCAGCAGUUGGAUCGGCAAAUGUGGCGUCCAGGCUCUUUCGGAGUACUGCGGUGCGGAUAGCCUAAGAUCUUGCUCCUCGAUUUGAAAAUUGCUUUAUCUUAUUUGAUCAAGGAUAGGUUGUUGUUGUUGUAACGAUGUUCUUAUAUCUAUGCCUAACAUCUGCAUGCGAGGCACCCCUAACCCUUUUUUAUCAUUGUAAUUAACUUUCAAAAGUUGCAUAUAGACUAAUAUGAUGUGCUGUCUAAACUAGGUAGACACCUCUGUCGGACCCAAUAUUUGAAGCCAGAUGUGUGGAGAGGUUAAUCACUCCCCUCACCGGCAGUGGAUGCAGCCACACUGCUGCCUGCAAAACAUCUUUAUUGCUUCAACGCAAGGAAGGCUCUAGAAGCAUCUAGUUUGUCUAUGAUUGCUUCUCAUAUAUUUUUAUGCAAGGAAGGCUCUAGAAGCAUUUGGUUUGUCCAUGCAGAUGAUCUUAAUUACCUGGUUAUCAAUUAGCUUAAGCAAAGCUAAUUUCAUGCUUGCCACCCUCACACAACAUCGGGAUGCGUUUUGCACGAGAAGCAACGGCAAGGUUUGCCUUCUACAGCAGUCUAGUUUCUUGUUACCAUUGUCUAAUAAUCAAUACCAUCUUAAGCAUCAUGCGAUAGUUGAAGCAGGAAACAUGCACAUGCGCUCACCUUCCGGUUGCAUUUCAUCACAUAAAAGUGCCACAAACUAGCAAUACAACGAUAGGUAGCUUUAUGUGAAUUCGCAUUAAUAAUCCAUGCCACACAUACAAUAGCGAUAGUAGAUAGAAAGUUUAUCAUAUAGUAGUAGCUUGAGUAACUUCCAUGUUGUUUGGUUAAUGCUGCCUAUGAUAGUUGAUGAUCUUCUUGUUUGGUCUAGACGUACCUUCAGUUCUGUAAACAUAUUAAAUUAUCAGAGCAUGCACAACAAAUCCAAGUUAUGAUAAACAACUGACACAUCCUGAUUCUGGAUUAGGAACUCACAAAUUUGAAAAUUGCUUUAUCUUAUUUGAUCAAGGAUAGGUUGUUGUUGUUGUAACGAUGUUCUUAUAUCUAUGCCUAACAUCUGCAUGCGAGGCACCCCUAACCCUUUUUUAUUAUUGUAAUUAACUUUCAAAAGUUGCAUAUAGACUUAUAUGAUGUGCUGUCUAAACUAGGUAGGCACCUCUGUCGGACCCAAUAUUUGAAGCCAGAUGUGUGGAGAGGUUAAUCACUCCCCUCACCGGCAGUGGAUGCAGCCACACUGCUGCCUGCAAAACAUCUUUAUUGCUUCAACGCAAGGAAGGCUCUAGAAGCAUUUGGUUUGUCCAUGCAGAUGAUCUUAGUUACCUGGUUAUCAAUUAGCUUAAGCAAAGCUAAUCUCAGGCUUGCCACCCUCACACAACAUCGGGAUGCGUUUUGCACGAGAAGCAACGGCAAGGUUUGCCUUCUACAGCAGUCUAGUUUCUUGUUACCAUUGUCUAAUAAUCAAUACCAUCUUAAGCAUCAUGCGAUAGUUGAAGCAGGAAACAUGCACAUGCGCUCACCUUCCGGUUGCAUUUCAUCACAUAAAAGUGCCACAAACUAGCAAUACAACGAUAGGUAGCUUUAUGUGAAUUCGCAUUAAUAAUCCAUGCCACACAUACAAUAGCGAUAGUAGAUAGAAAGUUUAUCAUAUAGUAGUAGCUUGAGUAACUUCCAUGUUGUUUGGUUAAUGCUGCCUAUGAUUGUUGAUGAUCUUCUUGUUUGGUCUAGACGUACCUUCAGUUCUGUAAACAUAUUAAAUUAUCAGAGCAUGCACAGCAAAUCCAAGUUGAAAAUUAAUUACAAUGAUAAACAACUGACACAUCCUGAUUCUGGAUUAGGAACUCGCAAAUUUGAAAAUUGCUUUAUCUUAUUUGAUCAAGGAUAGGUUGUUGUUGUUGUAACGAUGUUCUUAUAUCUAUGCCUAACAUCUGCAUGCGAGGCACCCCUAACCCUUUUUUAUUAUUGUAAUUAACUUUCAAAAGUUGCAUAUAGACUAAUAUGAUGUGCUGUCUAAACUAGGUAGGCACCUCUGUCGGACCCAAUAUUUGAAGCCAGAUGUGUGGAGAGGUUAAUCACUCCCCUCACCGGCAGUGGAUGCAGCCACACUGCUGCCUGCAAAACAUCUUUAUUGCUUCAACGCAAGGAAGGCUCUAGAAGCAUUUGGUUUGUCCAUGCAGAUGAUCUUAGUUACCUGGUUAUCAAUUAGCUUAAGCAAAGCUAAUCUCAGGCUUGCCACCCUCACACAACAUCGGGAUGCGUUUUGCACGAGAAGCAACGGCAAGGUUUGCCUUCUACAGCAGUCUAGUUUCUUGUUACCAUUGUCUAAUAAUCAAUACCAUCUUAAGCAUCAUGCGAUAGUUGAAGCAGGAAACAUGCACAUGCGCUCACCUUCCGGUUGCAUUUCAUCACAUAAAAGUGCCACAAACUAGCAAUACAACGAUAGGUAGCUUUAUGUGAAUUCGCAUUAAUAAUCCAUGCCACACAUACAAUAGCGAUAGUAGAUAGAAAGUUUAUCAUAUAGUAGUAGCUUGAGUAACUUCCAUGUUGUUUGGUUAAUGCUGCCUAUGAUUGUUGAUGAUCUUCUUGUUUGGUCUAGACGUACCUUCAGUUCUGUAAACAUAUUAAAUUAUCAGAGCAUGCACAGCAAAUCCAAGUUGAAAAUUAAUUACAAUGAUAAACAACUGACACAUCCUGAUUCUGGAUUAGGAACUCGCAAAUUUGAAAAUUGCUUUAUCUUAUUUGAUCAAGGAUAGGUUGUUGUUGUUGUAACGAUGUUCUUAUAUCUAUGCCUAACAUCUGCAUGCGAGGCACCCCUAACCCUUUUUUAUCAUUGUAAUUAACUUUCAAAAGUUGCAUAUAGACUAAUAUGAUGUGCUGUCUAAACUAGGUAGGCACCUCUGUCGGAC